Molecule: non-coding RNA, 74 nt
Organism: Aedes albopictus (Asian tiger mosquito)
Lineage: Eukaryota; Metazoa; Arthropoda; Insecta; Diptera; Culicidae
Source: Rfam
UGUUCUGUGGCUUAGCUGGUUAAAGCGCCGGUCUAGCGAAUACGGAGUCGUGGGUUCGAAUCCCACCAGAACGC